Molecule: long non-coding RNA, 2299 nt
Organism: Acinonyx jubatus (cheetah)
Lineage: Eukaryota; Metazoa; Chordata; Mammalia; Carnivora; Felidae
Exons: 2
Source: RefSeq, a predicted model, not a curated record
UAGAGAAGGAAGGAGAGAGGGAAGGACGGAGGGAGGAGACACAUCUGUCAUUCUCUGCCAUCAUUUACAAGGACGGUUCGAAUCCUCUCUCUCCCUAAGUGCCUCCCAAUGUGGAAUAAUUCUGACAAUAAACCGUAAUGGAGGGAGGUGCGGCCAUCGCGACAGGAACGACGUGAUCUGGAACGCGGUGUGGAGGUGCAGGCUCUCGCAGAAAUGGAAUCCACGCUCGGAAGACGAGGGUCAUGGUCACAGAAAUGCCACGCCCUCUCUGCACCUUCUUCCUAAAGGCAGCCCUCCCCAAACACUCAGUGCCCUGAGCUUCCUGGGGCGACAGGUAUGCAACAAACAGCGUUCACCAAGAUCUCUGCUUCCGGUUCUAACUCCGCGUGCAUUAAGCUCAGCGAUGCCCUGCUCCUAAGCCACCAGACCCCAGAAUCAGGUGAGUGGCAGCAGGUGGGAGCAGAGUAAUGGCAUAGAGCCUACACCGGGCUCAAAGACAGCAUGUCCUAGGACACCGCACCGUGAGGCACUAGACCCGUGUCCCUGGGAGACCCGUGUCCCUGGGAGAGAGGGUCGGGGACAGCACAACAGACGGGGAGGGAGGGUUGAGGGCACAGGAUCGUCUACAAAGUAGCAGACCCGAGUCCCAGGGCUCAUCCCCGACACCGGGUCCCACAGCCCCCUGUGCUACUGUCAGAAGUGUUAUUUAAAAAAAAUUUUUUUUAAUGUUUAUGUCUGAGAGAGAAAGACCGAGCGUGAGUGGAGGAGGGGCAGAGAGAGAGGGAGACACAGAAUCUGAAAUGAGCUCCAGGCUCCGAGCUGUCAGCACAGAGCCGGAUGCGAGGCUUGAACCCACGAAUUGUGAGAUCGUGACCUGAGCUGAAGUCGGACGUUUAACCGACUGAGUCACCCAGGGGCCCCGAAGGGUCAUCGCAUUUUCGAGCCGUAACAGAAAGGGCACACGUGCGACCCAGCGUCUCAAGCCCUGGGCUUUGCGAGCGCCCCAUUCUGCCCCACCUUGGGGAAACCACCUCCCAGUUCAAGGACCCGGGCUCACUCUGGGGACCUUGCAGAUGAUCAGGGCACACAGAGUGGUCCCCACUAGGGGCUGUCACCAGCACAGCGGGAAGUUUUAGAAACGGUCGGGAUUACCUGGGACGAUGAGACGGUGAUGUGAUAGAAUUUCCCUUGUCCCCCCUGUGGGAUGGCUCUGACGAAGAAGAACUUCCGGCCGUCCUUGGAGAACACCGGCUCCUCGUUCUACGGACAAAAGCAGAGUGUGAAAAGGCUUCGUUGUGUGUGGAAAAGGUCUACCACAGACGAUACAUCCUGAGAGCCAUCUCCUCUGCCGUUUGUAAUGGGGGGUGCGGUGGAAAGAAUCAACAGUGAGUGGGGCCUCUCCUCUCCUUGGGAAGCACGAGUCAAAGCUUCUGUUUCCUGAGAAACAAUGAGGAAUUCAGCAGAGCCUUCAGGAAGGCGCCGAGCGCGGAGCGGGCUUGUCGCAGGCCCCCAGGCGGGGCAGGACCUCUGCCCCGGGGCGCCCGGGGCACCUGCCCCUCUCACCGCGGCUCCGUGAGAGCAGAGCCCAGGGCAGCACCUGUCCAGGCACACCCGCCUCCACCUUGAAGAAGCGAACCCCGAACACUCACAAGUUUGUGCCUGAAAACGAAUUCUACCACGUUCGGUCUCGUCUUUUGUUCUUUAAUUUAGUAAAGAACACGGAAUAGCCCGCCAGGGAGACAAGUAAAAAGAGAACAGAGCAGCAAACAAGGACACAUUUUAUUCAUUCUAAGGUGCAGGUGCAGGAAACGUUCCUUCCAGGAACCUUGAACCAGAAGAGCGUGCCACACGGGCAUUUGCCGGAUGGCCCGUUUGCUGGGGUCUCUUGCCACUUCUCCUCGGAGAGGAAUGGGCAUUCCCAGCUCUCCCCCGGGGAAGGAAUUCUCGGCUGGAUUCAAAGCCGAGGCCUGAAGUGUGUUGCCCUAUCCCUGCCCGGCCCCCCCAGAGCUGAGCGGCCACGGCCCCGGGGUCGGGCCACCUCCCCGAUGGGGGAAAAGGCAUUUUGCUACAGCUGCAUCUCAGCAUCUCUGCGGCUCCGGCUUGGAAGUUUCCAUCCGUGAACACCAAUUAGUCGGCGACGAUCUGUAUUUUCUGAUUCAAGGAGCCACACGCUCACGCGGCCGAGAACAAAUGGUAAAUAGGCCCCAGCUGGUGCCAGGAACGCACAUUUCCCCGCAGUGAGCGAGGAGACGCCAGCGUGAUGCGCCCGGAGAAAUAAACUAACAUGUGAUUAAAAUGA